This 710-nucleotide long non-coding RNA is filed under the name Physcomitrium patens. RNAcentral's name for it is "long non-coding RNA (PPAT_LNC004337)". Lineage: Eukaryota; Viridiplantae; Streptophyta; Bryopsida; Funariales; Funariaceae. The record is from RNAcentral.
CACAAACCCUAUUUUUCUUAAAUAUUUAAUUGUACUAUGACUUUAAACACCUUAAACCCUAACCCAUAUUUGUUUACAUAUACAUAGGCUUUUAGGACAUGAAACACGAACCUCAUUUGAUAGUCACAAUUUACAUUUUCUCAUAAGUUAUCUAAAAUCAAGUUUCUAUAAAAGCAAUAUUCAACCUCUAUCAUUUCAUUCAACACACAUUCAACUAUCUUCUCAAAAAUCACAAAAUCUCACAUCUAUCAAAAUACUAACUAAAGUAGCAUACCAAAAUUGACAUGGAAAAAGUAUACUUGUCCACACUUGCUUUCAUUCAUAUAUAUAUAUAUAUAUAUGAAAACCAUGAACUACAUACAAACAAAAUAAAAACAAAAAAUAAAAAUAAAAAUCAAUUAUUCUAUUAUCACCACACACACACACACAGUUAGUUCUAUAUCCUUGACACAUGUUGGUAUCCACUCCACCAAGAGAAACUUACCCAUUUUGCAUGGUAUUUUAUCCCUCAUUUCACGUAGUUACGUGUUUCUAUUAUCAUGUUGGGCAAGUAAGUCGAAGAGGGUGGUGGGGGCAGCGAGAAAAAAGAAUCUAAAUAUAAUCUUCGAGGAAUCUAAGAAAGCGGGCAGAGGCAAAAUGGGCACGAGGGCGAGAGAGAGCGAGAGAGGGGCCAUCGUCGCGGCGCUCUGUCACGAGACCCUCGUUCAUUC